CAGCAGCCGCGGUAACACCAGCACCUCGAGUGGUCAGGAGGUUUAUUGGGCCUAAAGCAUCCGUAGCCGGUUGCAUAAGUUUUCGGUUAAAUCUAUGCGCUUAACGUAUAGGCCGCCGAAAAUACUGUGCAGCUAGGGAGUGGGAGAGGUACACGGUACUCGAUAGGAGGGGGUAAAAUCCUUUGAUCUAUCGAUGACCACCUGUGGCGAAGGCGGUGUACCAGAACACGUUCGACGGUGAGGGAUGAAAGCUGGGGGAGCAAACCGGAUUAGAUACCCGCGUAGUCCCUGUCUCUUAUAC
RNAcentral lists this ribosomal RNA (301 nucleotides) under uncultured bacterium. Its description in RNAcentral is "partial 16S ribosomal RNA". It matches the Rfam family "Archaeal small subunit ribosomal RNA", at positions 459 to 760 of the family's 1478-position model. The record is from RNAcentral.